This 253-nucleotide ribosomal RNA is filed under the name uncultured bacterium. Its description in RNAcentral is "partial 16S ribosomal RNA". It matches the Rfam family "Bacterial small subunit ribosomal RNA", at positions 524 to 776 of the family's 1533-position model. The record is from RNAcentral.
GACAGAGUGUGCAAACGUUGUUCGGAAUUACUGGGCGUAAAGCGCGUGUAGGUGGCGAGGCAAGUCGGGUGUGAAAGCCCUGGGCUCAACCUAGGAAGUGCACUCGAUACUGCCUAGCUAGAGUCCCGGAGAGGUUGGUGGAACUCUCGGUGUAGAGGUGAAAUUCGUAGAUAUCGAGAAGAACACCGGUGGCGAAGGCGGCCAACUGGACGGUGACUGACACUGAGACGCGAAAGCGUGGGGAGCAAACAGG